UACGGAGGGUGCAAGCGUUACUCGGAAUCACUGGGCGUAAAGCGCGCGCAGGCGGCUAUUUAAGUUGGAUGUGAAAGCCUACGGCUCAACCGUAGAACUGCAUCCAAAACUAUUUAGCUAUAGUGUGGGAGAGGAAGAUGGAAUUAGUUGUGUAGGGGUAAAAUCCGUAGAGAUAACUAGGAAUACCAAAAGCGAAGGCAAUCUUCUGGAACACUUCUGACGCUGAGGCGCGAAAGCGUGGGGAGCAAACAGGAUUAGAAACCCUAGUAGUCC
Molecule: ribosomal RNA, 273 nt
Filed under: uncultured bacterium
Lineage: Bacteria
Description: partial 16S ribosomal RNA
Rfam family: Bacterial small subunit ribosomal RNA
Source: RNAcentral